GACGAACGCUGGCGGCGUGCUUAACACAUGCAAGUCGAACGGAAAGGCCCUGCUUUUGUGGGGUGCUCGAGUGGCGAACGGGUGAGUAACACGUGAGUAACCUGCCCUUGACUUUGGUAUAACUUCAGGAAACUGGGGCUAAUACCGGAUAUGAGCUCCUGCUGCAUGGUGGGGGUUGGAAAGUUUCGGCGGUUGGGGAUGGACUCGCGGCUUAUCAGCUUGUUGGUGGGGUAGUGGCUUACCAAGGCUUUGACGGGUAGCCGGCCUGAGAGGGUGACCGGCAAAAUUGGGACUGAGAUACGGACCAGACUGCUACGGGAGGCAGCAGUGGGGAAUAUUGCACAAUGGGAGGAAGCCUGAUGCAGCAACGCCGCGUGCGGGAUGAAGGCCUUCGGGUUGUAAACCGCUUUAGCCUGUGACGAAGCGUGAGUGACGGUAAUGGGUAAAGAAGCACCGGCUAACUACGUG
This 468-nucleotide ribosomal RNA is filed under the name uncultured bacterium. Its description in RNAcentral is "partial 16S ribosomal RNA". It matches the Rfam family "Bacterial small subunit ribosomal RNA", at positions 28 to 507 of the family's 1533-position model. The record is from RNAcentral.